CGGCUCCACCAGGGGAGCCCCGACAAGGGGCUGAGAUACCGCUGGGCCCCUCGAUCCCGAUCCGGGAUCGCUCCGGGGCAGCGCGGUGACCCUUCGAACCUGAUCCAGUUAAUGCUGGCGUAGGGAUGGUGCGAGGGCUCCGCG
This 144-nucleotide non-coding RNA is filed under the name Tistlia consotensis USBA 355. RNAcentral's name for it is "alpha proteobacterium USBA 355 TPP riboswitch aptamer (THI element)". It matches the Rfam family "TPP riboswitch aptamer (THI element)". Rfam says of the family: Vitamin B(1) in its active form thiamin pyrophosphate (TPP) is an essential coenzyme that is synthesised by coupling of pyrimidine and thiazole moieties in bacteria. The previously detected thiamin-regulatory element, thi box was extended, resulting in a new, highly conserved RNA secondary structure, the THI element, which is widely distributed in eubacteria and also occurs in some archaea. Analysis of operon structures identified a large number of new candidate thiamin-regulated genes, mostly transporters, in various prokaryotic organisms. Lineage: Bacteria; Pseudomonadati; Pseudomonadota; Alphaproteobacteria; Rhodospirillales; Rhodovibrionaceae. The record is from Rfam by way of RNAcentral. RNAcentral also lists the same sequence under 1 other name.